AUGGAGAUCAUCUACAAGGACACGCACAACCACCCCAAGCCCGCUGCCCAGGGCCGCCGACCCGCCGGUGCCGUCCGAACGCGGAGGCAAGGUCGUUGUGGCUGUCCAGGACUAGCGAGGCGAUGGGCUGGAGGCCACGUCGCCCGCCUCGGUGCCCGGUUGCUUAGUUCUCAAGCAACCAUGUACUUCCUUGACUCUCAAGGCAACUAUCCAACUACAGCCCGUGUGUGCAUAUACUUGGUCUUGGUCUUCCUCUUCUUCCCCGCGCGCUCCUCCCCCAUUCCCCCGGCGACCAACCCCGUCCUCCUCCUCCGGCCCAUCUCCGCCGCGAGCCUAAGGUACGUCGCCCUAAUCGCGCGAUCUAGGUUCGAUUCGUCCCCGUCGUCGCUAGAUCCGGCUCGCCGCGCCCGAAAUCCCCCGCGGAAUCGGGGUGAAUUCGUGUGGUUCGAUUUUCGUCGGGGCUGGUUAAGUUCCAAUCCGGGGUCAAGGCCUCCUCCUCCUCCGCCCCCGACCGAUCCCGUCGCCUCCCUGGCGUAG
RNAcentral lists this ribosomal RNA (537 nucleotides) under Triticum aestivum (bread wheat). RNAcentral describes it as "partial small subunit ribosomal RNA". Lineage: Eukaryota; Viridiplantae; Streptophyta; Magnoliopsida; Poales; Poaceae. The record is from RNAcentral.